Long non-coding RNA from Aquila chrysaetos chrysaetos, 1327 nucleotides. RefSeq lists it as uncharacterized. The transcript is spliced from 3 exons. The record is from RefSeq and is a predicted model, not a curated record. Lineage: Eukaryota; Metazoa; Chordata; Aves; Accipitriformes; Accipitridae.
UAAGGUGUUCAAGUAAGAGUCAGAGAAACUGACACUAUUUUGAAGGAACGAACUUUGAUAUUUCCCCAUGUUCUCCCAUAUCUAAGUUUGCUUAGCAGCAAAAUUUCAGCUGAGUAGUUUCAGAGUUUACAGGUAUUUUACAUUAAUGAAUUAAUUUUUUCAUUCUACAGGCAGACAAGAGGCAGAGCCAUCAUAAUUAUGGACAAGACUGACUUAGAAGAAAGUCCCCUAGAGCAACUGAAUAGCAUGCUACUCUGUAAAUCAAAUAAGCACCUAUUAACAUCAGUUGUAUAGAGUUUAUAAUGUGGUGUUACUGCUGCCUUGCCAAAUGCCCUAGGAGUUAGAAUUAUUUUUCCUCCAACGUGCCUGAAGACUGGACAAAAAAAUCAUUUGGAGCUGAUCUAAAAAAAACAAAAAACCCCUAAAAGAUCCCUGAAGACUGCUGAAGUAGUCAAGUACAUAUCCCAUUCUACUUUCAAGCUAUGGCAUAACUUCUUCAAAAAUUAUCAGCCCUCCAAAUGCAACCUUCCCUCCCUCAGCUGUAAACUGUACGACAGCAACCAUGCUUAACACUUACUAUGUGUCGCCAUUCUACGUAUUACAAAUAGUGGUUGUGAUAACUACAGGAACCUGCAACUGCAUAGAUGCUGAACAGUACUUAUCUACUUAUGGUCUGUGCCAUGCUGCCUCUCUCCCCUCAAGAGGGAUUUAACAUCAGUGAUGUGUCCCAUUGAUGCUUCCUGUUGGUCUGUAGGCCAAAAGAUGUAUGGCAGAAUCAGAGGAUACUUUGUAAGCUUUUAUUGUAUAAGCAGUCUGCAGAGGCUACCACUAAAUAGCCUUAUUAUGGCCUUGUUUCCAUGUCUGAUUUUACUCCAGCCGAGGCAGUAACAUCAGAAAUAUCCGCCAAACACUGUAUACAAAUCACUGAUAUGAUCCUGGAAAGGGUAAGUUACUGCAUUCACAAGAAUCCUUCAAAAUGAUAGUAAAAUGCAAGUCUCAUUUGGCAGUCUGAUUUUUUGAUCUCUGCUGGAGAGAACCUGAUGUGUGGCUAAAAUUUUUUCUUCUCCCCACAAGAAGCAACUGAGAAGUAACUACACCCACAGCACCUAGUAAAAGAAGUUGUAUUUCUAGCUGUAAUAAAUAAUCUCUCUUUUCAAAGCACAGAUGUUUUACAGAGAAGAUGCAAGAGACUUUUGCUCCACAAUCCUGGUACAUUACUGUAACUCUCAUUAAUAAGUAGGAAGACAUCUGUUUAACUAGCAUGCUAGGGAGGCUAGAAUUCCUCCUAAUGUAUAUUUUCUAUUUGAAUUUUCCACACCACAUAUAA